AGCUCCAAUAGCGUAUAUUAAAGAUGUUGAGGUGAAAAAGCGAGAAGAGGGAUUAAGGAGGGGAGGGGGUGGGUUGAAAUGCUUCCCCCCUUCCUUUUUUCACCUGGUGUUUUGCCAGAAUCUUACGGGUGAUCUUUACCGAUUGUCCGUUGGAACUGGCAGGUUUACUUUGAAAAAAUUAGAGUGCUCAAAGCAAGCUUACUGCUUGAAUAGUUGCGCAUGGAAUAAUAGAAUAGGAAGUCGUUUCUAUUUUGUUGGUUUUCGGAAAUCGACUUAAUGAUUAAUAGGGAUAGUCGGGGGCAUUCGUAUUCAAACGACAGAGGUGAAAUUCUUGGACCGUUUGAAGACGAACUAAGGCGAAAGCAUUUGCCAAGAAUGUUUUCA
This 384-nucleotide ribosomal RNA is filed under the name marine copepod environmental sample. RNAcentral describes it as "partial small subunit ribosomal RNA". It matches the Rfam family "Eukaryotic small subunit ribosomal RNA", at positions 587 to 972 of the family's 1831-position model. Lineage: Eukaryota; Metazoa; Arthropoda; Copepoda. The record is from RNAcentral.